CACUUCAUUCACACUCUUUCCCUACAAGACCUCUUUUGAUUCGGCAGGUGAGUUGUUACACACUCCUUAGCAGAUUCCAACUUCCAUGGCCACCGUCCUGCUGUCUAUAUCAACCAACACCUUUUCUGGGAUCUGAUGAGCGUUGGCAUCGGG
Long non-coding RNA from Chelonia mydas (Green sea turtle), 153 nucleotides. RefSeq lists it as uncharacterized. The record is from RefSeq and is a predicted model, not a curated record. Lineage: Eukaryota; Metazoa; Chordata; Testudines; Cheloniidae. The transcript has 5 exons.